Long non-coding RNA from Gigantopelta aegis, 645 nucleotides. RefSeq lists it as uncharacterized. The transcript has 4 exons. The record is from RefSeq and is a predicted model, not a curated record. NCBI's taxonomy places the organism in Eukaryota, Metazoa, Mollusca, Gastropoda, Neomphalida, Peltospiridae.
CGUGAUCAAAAUCGCAUCUUUGCACAAGGCAGAGUCGAAAUAAUGUUUUAGGCAAAGUCGUGAUUACUGCUAUAUCAGGUACUCAUGCUUAGGAGGACCGCCACACCCCAAGGAGAUCCUAACAGAAUGUGCACUGCGUGAUUUCAGGAUACACGAGUUACAGCGUCGCUGAGAAUACACUAAGGACUGAUGGUCUGGACGUAUCCUGGAGCCAUAGUCCUUUUCUUGGGAGCUUUGUCCACAGACACUGGUGUAGCCGCAGGGUUUGCAUACAACAACAAGAGAGGCUGAUACCGACCCCGACAACACUUCUCUAUCACGUGCUCAAAUCGAGGGAGUACAGAUCAGCAAAGGAAGAGAUUAUAAUGUUUACUACCACCCCAACACACUUGAUCAUCAGGUAUCAUUUGCUAAACUGUGAAACUUGCUGAUGCAAUCAUCUUUUAACCUGUCUUAAGCAGCCAACAGUGGAAGUGCAGUAGACUAUUGUGAGCAAAUUCAUAUCCGUCUUGAUCCUCAUUACUUUGGGGUUCCCCCUUUUUUAAAACUAAUACUCUGAAUGGUCAUAAAUCCUGAAUAAAAAUAUUCAUGAAACUAUACUUUUAUACAUGUGCACACACACACACACACACACACACACACACA